Dromiciops gliroides (monito del monte) is the source of this 107-nucleotide small nuclear RNA. NCBI's taxonomy places the organism in Eukaryota, Metazoa, Chordata, Mammalia, Microbiotheria, Microbiotheriidae. The record is from RefSeq and is a predicted model, not a curated record.
GUGCUCGCUUCAGCAGCACAUAAACUUCAAUUAAGAUGAUACAGAGAAGAUUAGCAUGGCCCCUGCACAAGGAUGACAUGCAAAUUCCUGAAGCAAAAAGAGUCUAA